Molecule: ribosomal RNA, 253 nt
Filed under: uncultured bacterium
Lineage: Bacteria
Description: partial 16S ribosomal RNA
Rfam family: Bacterial small subunit ribosomal RNA
Source: RNAcentral
UACAGAGGUCUCAAGCGUUGUUCGGAAUCACUGGGCGUAAAGGGCGCGUAGGCGGCUUUAUAAGUCGGGGGUGAAAGCCUGUGGCUCAACCACAGAAUUGCCUUCGAUACUGUAGAGCUUGAGACCGGAAGAGGUAAGUGGAACUGCGAGUGUAGAGGUGAAAUUCGUAGAUAUUCGCAAGAACACCAGUGGCGAAGGCGGCUUACUGGUCCGGUUCUGACGCUGAGGCGCGAAAGCGUGGGGAGCAAACAGG